AUCCAACUGACCAGUCUCAAAUAGAACGAAACAUGUGUCCUGGAU
Molecule: non-coding RNA, 45 nt
Organism: Schistosoma rodhaini
Lineage: Eukaryota; Metazoa; Platyhelminthes; Trematoda; Strigeidida; Schistosomatidae
Source: Rfam